AAUUGACCGGCGUUAAUCAUGGUGAAUACACCAUGAGUGAUUCCCAAAAACAGAGUCAAGUGUGUUAGCAUUUCCUAAUUUAAGAUCAAAGAUAUAUUAUGGUAGACUGAACUACGUUAAAUGAUGCUGUUUAGGUCCACCCUAAAUAGUUGGCUUCGAUGAUCGAUGUUGUGAAAUUGCUAACAAAAGCAAAUGCGCGACGAAUGGACAGGAAAAGGAGAAGCAAAUAGAAAGAUAAGAAGCGAGCAAUGUGAUCGGGAAUAUCCCACAAUAACACUUGACUACAACGCAUUUGUACCAAUACAAAAUAAAUGGUUAAAUACAUUUUAUUAUAUUUA
Molecule: long non-coding RNA, 338 nt
Organism: Drosophila sechellia
Lineage: Eukaryota; Metazoa; Arthropoda; Insecta; Diptera; Drosophilidae
Exons: 2
Source: RefSeq, a predicted model, not a curated record